Molecule: ribosomal RNA, 590 nt
Filed under: uncultured bacterium
Lineage: Bacteria
Description: partial 16S ribosomal RNA
Rfam family: Bacterial small subunit ribosomal RNA
Source: RNAcentral
UGGGGAAUUUUGGACAAUGGGCGAAAGCCUGAUCCAGCAAUGCCGCGUGUGUGAAGAAGGCCUUCGGGUUGUAAAGCACUUUUGUCCGGAAAGAAAUCCUUGGCUCUAAUACAGUCGGGGGAUGACGGUACCGGAAGAAUAAGCACCGGCUAACUACGUGCCAGCAGCCGCGGUAAUACGUAGGGUGCAAGCGUUAAUCGGAAUUACUGGGCGUAAAGCGUGCGCAGGCGGUUUGCUAAGACCGAUGUGAAAUCCCCGGGCUCAACCUGGGAACUGCAUUGGUGACUGGCAGGCUAGAGUAUGGCAGAGGGGGGUAGAAUUCCACGUGUAGCAGUGAAAUGCGUAGAGAUGUGGAGGAAUACCGAUGGCGAAGGCAGCCCCCUGGGCCAAUACUGACGCUCAUGCACGAAAAGCGUGGGGGAGCAAAACAGGAUUAGAUACCCUGGUAGUCCACGCCCUAAAACGAUGUCAACUAGUUGUUGGGGAUUCAUUUCCUUAGUAACGUAGCUAACGCGUGAAGUUGACCGCCUGGGGAGUACGGUCGCAAGAUUAAAAACUCAAAGGAAUUGACGGGGUCAUAGCUGUUUCCU